Molecule: long non-coding RNA, 1876 nt
Organism: Syngnathoides biaculeatus (alligator pipefish)
Lineage: Eukaryota; Metazoa; Chordata; Actinopteri; Syngnathiformes; Syngnathidae
Exons: 3
Source: RefSeq, a predicted model, not a curated record
AAGACCGCUCCCUAAUUUGUAUGGGAGCGAGGACAAAACAACGGCCAUAUUGAGUGGUUAAACGCCAAGUUAAUCCUUCGCAGGAGUGUGACAUACCUGAAAUAACUCCCUUAUUUGAGGCGAUAGCGCAAGAACAUGAUAAUACCCAGGAGAGGAGUGCAGACCUCUGCCAGAGAUAACGACGUGCGCGACUGAGCUGUAAACACGACAUCAAGAAAAGAAGACGCUGUGGCGGUCGGACGAGGCCAAGCGGGCGCACAAGCUCACCAGCAAGCCGGCGAGCCAAAGCAAAUCCAUGGCGGACGGACACCCGGGCGUGCACGCGCGCGGACACCCGCGCAGGUGAGGGGGCGGAGCAGCGAGCCAGGCUCUGCUAUAGAAACCCUACAAGGAAGGGAUGCGACAAGCAACACGCGGGAGCUCGCAGUGCUACGCGAAGCUAGCGACAGGACAGGACAGGACACAUCACGUGAGCAGCGCUACAUACACCUCAUGAGGACAUGAAUGAUGUCACGAGUUUAAAGAGGACAGGACGGGAGCGGUGUUCUCGGUUAGCACUGAAUCGAGUCGCUAUAGUAGCGAAAUUAGCCUACACCGUUACCCGAGCGAUCCUAACCCGCUAGCGUGGUGAAAACAGAACACAAAGACAGAUUGUUUUCUAGUUAAGAACGUGGAAUAUUCUUCUUCUGACACACCCUGACCUCCAUCCGAUAAAAAUAUUCUCAAACGGGUUUGCACAGAGCUAAUACGGAAACCUAGCCGACGCCGUCGAUCCCUCGAUCUUCUCUUUAGCCGCCGGCGCGUCUUUUCCGCCCAAAUGACGACAGCGCGGCGUUUGUGACUAAAACCUGUCCGCAUUUAGCGGUACGACGAAUUUGAUCCUAGCAGUGAUGUCUGCUACAUAUUUUUGCGGCGAGCUCGGACGCACGUCACAAAGUUGGCGCGAGGAGUCCGCAGGGCAGGACAGGAUUCAGCGAGCCAGAAAGUCUGUCUUUGUUUUGUCGCGGCCGCUGUUGCCGUGCGCGUGGAAGUCCCGAACGCAUCUAAAAACAUACCUCAAGCGCUUCCUGUCCACGCCUGUAAUUGCUACCCGAAACCUACGGGGCUGCCCUGAACAUUUUUGUUCCGUUGGACUACCGAACGCGCCAAAUGCGCCUUUGAAAUGCGCUCAAUAGUGUUCAAGUAUUAGCCUUGUAACGGGCCGAGUCUACGGAUUAAAGCGCGCGGCCGGCGCACCUCUAAUUCCCCGUCCGAACAGUUUGGCAGCGCUUGAUAUUUUUAACUUUUCAUCCCCUUCCACUUUGAGCAAAAAAAAAAAAAAACCCAAGAUGGAUCGCGAUGACUUGUUUGCGCUCGCCUCACAGAUGUGGUAAACAUGUUCGCGUUCAAAGGGGAGCCCGCCGCGCUUGUCAAAACGGAGAUCGCGGGCUUUGAUUUAGCUGCCCCGCCAUAUGUGCAUCCUACACGCGCAGAGCGAUCGGAAGCCGGUUUUCCCACCGCGUAUCCUAUUUUACGCACGCGCCGCCGUUUAUUGGGCGGGGAGUCGUAUUCGGUCGCUUCAACGGCCGCCGCGCGCCUCGCUAUAUAGAACCGCGGUUAUUUCUGCUGGCCAAUAAACAAGGAUAAAAUAAAGUUUUGCCAUUUUGGAGUACGUAUCGUAAAACAUUUGUUUGUUUUUUUAAAGAACCCUAUUAAGGUAUUUUUAUACUUACAUAUGUGAAGUGUUCUAUUCAUUUACUUGUCUAUGAUGUUUGACGUUUGUUAGCAUAUGUUAGCUUUCCGACGGCAAACCUGGGUGGUUAUUUCAAAUACAUGUUUUUACAUAAAAAAAACCAACGUGUACAAAACCUAUUAAGGUAUUUUUAUACUUAUAUAU